AUGGUUUUUUAAAAAUGCCUUAUGCUCUGCUUUUAGCCUCCUAAAUGAAAAGAUAGAACAGGUCUUGUUUGAAAAGUAAAUUCAAGACCUACUUAUCUACCUACAGCA
This 108-nucleotide non-coding RNA is filed under the name Carlito syrichta (Philippine tarsier). The record is from RNAcentral. Lineage: Eukaryota; Metazoa; Chordata; Mammalia; Primates; Tarsiidae.